RNAcentral lists this long non-coding RNA (2950 nucleotides) under Capsicum annuum. Its description in RNAcentral is "long non-coding RNA (CANN_LNC014562)". The record is from RNAcentral. Lineage: Eukaryota; Viridiplantae; Streptophyta; Magnoliopsida; Solanales; Solanaceae.
UAUAAUCUAUGAAUAAGAGCAGUAGGUUGAACAUUUACAAACUGUACAACAAAGACUCAAAUACAACAAGAGCUUGAGACACAAGUGACGACUGAGAAGGUCCCUAUUGCAAGUGAGGCUUUGGUUGACAAAUUUCUUCAAGAGAGAUUUAGAGUUAUUUGUAUAUGGAAGCUUAGGCUUUGUUGUUGUAGCUUGUUUCAUAUAUAUAAGACAAGAAAACCUAGGACUCUUCUCAUUGGCUGAGCAAAAAGAUACUGCAUCUUUGCUACCAACUUUCUGCCAACAGUACUUUUUCCAGUUGUAUUGAUGACUGAGUGAAUGAGAUGUAGGCGUGAUGCACUUGGUCCCUGAGCAGUUCCACAUUUAUCUAUUCAUGAACUAGGUGCCAACGUUGGUAGUUUGUCAAUUAUCAAAACUAAGGACUCAACAAUUUCUCCCUUUUUGAUGAUGAAAAACUUAUACUCUAUUCUUCCAUAGGAUCCGCUACAUCUCACUGCUUCCCUUUGUCACUGAUAUCACUCUUUAUAGAUCCCUUCCCCCGGUCACUGAUACCAUCAACUACACAUAUUUUCCCCUAUGUAUAGGAACCUAAUUCUUAGUGAUGAUCUUAUAUACAUUACAUUGUACCUCAUCUUCCCCCUUUUGGCAUCAUCAAAGAGAUAAAAUAGUAAACCACAUAAAGAUAAGCACACGUAUUAACUCAUGGCCAUUAAGGUUACACUGACAUGAGUAGGUAAAAUCAAAGAAAGAUAGAAUAAUGAUAGCAUCAAAACACAAGAUAUUCAUCAAUCAUUAAGAUCAACAUCAUACAAUAUCCAAAAGCAAGAGCAUUGUAAAUCAAGUACAGGUAAAACCACGACAAUAGAACAAGAAUAAAAUGGGGCUUAAAAAGGAACAUGAUAGAAUGACUGAAAAGAUGGGGCUUAAAAGGUCAGGGCGCGACAAGGACUAGGUUGAACAGACAUUAGGCAGAAGGAUCAGAAGGUGGAUUGGACAACUGGCAUGGAAGAAGGGUGAUUCUUUCAUUUUCAGCUGCAUAAUUCUUCAAUAGUUGUUGAGUCAGGUCCUCAACUUUAUCUUCCAAUUUCUGAACCUUGGCAUGCAAUAUUUCAUUCUCAAAAUGUAGACCCUCGCUUCCACCCAGUCCUUCCCCUUGAGCCUUCAAGAAGGCUGCCUUCAUAGUAGUAAUCUCAACAUCUUUCUACAUUAGGUGAGCAAUCAUCUCUUCCAACUCACUCAUCAACCUGAUCUAAACUUCAAUCAAGUCUACCACCACAGACUUCAACUUUACUCCACUUCUUCUAGAAAUGCACUCAUUUUUCUCCAAAGUAGACAAUGUGAACAUUUGCUUGACAGACCCAUCCUUCCAAAGUCCACACUAGACAUCAAAAUACGCAAACACACUAUUCAAAAGGAACUCGUAGGCUAAUCCAUGCUUACCACCCUUUGUCAUCAUCACCUUAAGCAUGUGUUCUAUCAUAAUAACAAAAAGGUUCACAGGCUUGAACUUUGUUAAAACUUCCAUGAGGAAUAGUUUGGGGCCUGUGACAGUAGUGCACUUCUCAAUCGCAGAAAAAGAGCCUUAUUAACUAAUUCAAACAAGAGUUGAUAUUCCCCUUUGAUGAACUUCUUUGUCAAUGACAAUGUUCAAAUCGUCCAACUUGCCAAUGUGUCUCAAGAAUUUUUUAGAGCCACACUCAUCCUUUAGAUUCUGGACCCUUGAUUGGGCACUCCCAACACUUCAGCUAACACUUGCUCAUCAAAAGAAAUAUUCACAUCAUGCACUUACGUUUUCAAGUAGAGACUAUCAUCAGAGAAUGUGAGGUUGUGAUAAAAUAUCCUCACUUUCUUUUCAUGAAUAGUAGGAAUAAGAGGCUCAAACAAGUUCUCUUAACUCUGAAACUUCAUCAUUUCAAUCAACUCACCCUUACCCAACAUAGUCGUAAUCUCAGGAUCAAACACACGUCCCCUCAAAACUUCCUGGGUCUUGAGUAUUUCUUGACUUUCUUAUCUUGUGAGCACCUCGCCUUUGACUAUAGAAGUAAAACCUGUGUCACUAGGACCUGGUUCCUUAACUGAUACACAGAUCCUUUAGAGGAUCUGGUAGAUUUAGGAUUGGGACCUGGUCUCUUGGUACUUUGUAACUCAUCCCUUUUUUUUGCUACCAUUGGUAGAUACUGGUUCCUUGAUUAGCACCCCCUUGGUCAUUUCCUUUUUUGGUGGUAGAAUAGUGCCAGCUUUAACUUUUGCCCUUUGAGCAACUAUUUUUCUUACCGUAUCCUCAUUACUUUCUUCUUCAUACUCUCUUUCACUCUCAGUCUAUGACUCUUCUACAGGCACAAUAUCCGUUGUAGGUAUAUCAAACUCAACAACAACUCUUUUCUUUAAAUUUUUCUUCUAUUGGGUGCUACGCAUACUCUCAACCAGGGCAGCCUCAAACAACUUAUGGGAGCUCGAUCUGGUCCCAUGAACUUUACUGGUUUUGAUGGUAGACUAGCAGUGGAAAACACUCUUUGUUUGGUGAAUUUUGAUUUCAAGGGCUUGUCAUCACUGUCAGUGUGUUCCUCUUCCUCCUCGACCUUGUCAGUCACUUCCAGAGUAGGUGACAAGAUUUUAUUUUCUUCCUCAUGGUGUCAUGUUGCAAGGGAUCUAGGGGUUUUGUCUUACUUUGAAGGAGUGGGAGUAUUGGAUAUUUGAGGAGCCUCCUCACUUAAGGCAGUCAACCCCUAAAUAACAUUACCUCACUUCUUUUAUCCCUUUUUUGACUCGGAGGGUUGAAAAUCAUUGGUUUCGACUUUUUAAACUAUUUCAAAACUUUAAAGAAAAAUUUUAAAACAAUCUAAGUAAUGACAGAGUCGCCACUUAAUUUAUUUGAAAAGAAAUUAAGAAAACUUUUAAGGAAAAUCCUAAGUCUUAAAAUAGAAAAAGACUUAAGCUUUUAAGAAAUUCC